AUUGAACGCUGGCGGCGUGCCUAAUACAUGCAAGUCGAGCGGACCUUCGGGUUAGCGGCGGACGGGUGAGUAACACGCGGGUAAUCUGCCCAACUGACUGGAAUAACGCCUGGAAACGGGUGCUAAUGCCGGAUAGGCAACUGGUAGGCAUCUACCGGUUGGAAAGGUGCAACUGCACCGCAGAUGGAGGAGCCCGCGGCGCAUUAGCUAGUUGGUGGGGUAACGGCCUACCAAGGCGACGAUGCGUAGCCGACCUGAGAGGGUGGACGGCCACACUGGGACUGAGACACGGCCCAGACUCCUACGGGAGGCAGCAGUAGGGAAUCUUCCGCAAUGGGCGCAAGCCUGACGGAGCAACGCCGCGUGAGCGAAGAAGGCCUUCGGGUUGUAAAGCUCAGUCACUCGGGAAGAGCGGACGAGGGAGUGGAAAGCCCUCGUCGAGACGGUACCGAGAGAGGAAGCCCCGGCUAACUACGUG
RNAcentral lists this ribosomal RNA (478 nucleotides) under uncultured bacterium. Its description in RNAcentral is "bacterial SSU rRNA". It matches the Rfam family "Bacterial small subunit ribosomal RNA", at positions 29 to 507 of the family's 1533-position model. The record is from RNAcentral.